Molecule: ribosomal RNA, 301 nt
Filed under: uncultured bacterium
Lineage: Bacteria
Description: partial 16S ribosomal RNA
Rfam family: Bacterial small subunit ribosomal RNA
Source: RNAcentral
CAGUCGCCGCGGGAAUACGGAGGGUGCAAGCGUUAAUCGGAAUUACUGGGCGUAAAGCGCGCGUAGGUGGUUUAUUAAGUUGGAUGUGAAAUCCCCGGGCUCAACCUGGGAAUUGCAGUGGAUACUGGGUCACUAGAGUGUGGUAGAGGAUAGUGGAAUUUCCGGUGUAGCAGUGAAAUGCGUAGAGAUCGGAAGGAACAUCAGUGGCGAAGGCGACUAUCUGGGCCAACACUGUCACUGAGGCACGAAAGCGUGGGGAGCAAACAGGAUUAGAUACCCGGGUAGUCCCUGUCUCUUAUAC